AGUGAGAGUUCAUUUCCAUCGUGGCGAUUGCUGGAAGAAGACAACGAGACGUCGUCGAACACGGACGAGCGGGCCUUACUCUUCGCUGCCUGUGGAGUACGUGCGAUCUGCGAGCGUCACCUGGUGCAGGUAGGUUUGAGUUUGCUGCUACCAGAGUCUUUCAGUUUUUAUACGAACAUCGUUUCUGUGACGCACUGAAUGUGGAAAUCAAGAUGAAAUCACAUGGAGGCCACAAUAUAUCAUCAAGUUGUUGAGUAUCGAAUGGCCAAAUAUCGAGUGAAAAUUGCACACCGACUCCUUCACCGGGAAUUGCUCUGAAAAUAAUUUAUGAAGUCUUUUCAACUACUGCUUCUCUGUACACUGACCCCUUCACCAGGAAUCGCUCUGAAAAUAAUUUAAAAAGUCGUUUCAACCACUGCUACUCUGCACACUGACCCCUUCACCAGGAAUCGCUCUGAAAAUAAUUUAAAAAGUCCUUUUAACUACUGCUGCUGCUCUGCACACUGACUCCUUCACCAGGAAUCUUUCCAGAAACAUUUUACCAGGUCUUUUCAACUACUGCUGCUCUGCACACUGUCCCUUACAUCAGGAAUUGCUCUGAGAAUAAUUUAAAAAGUCCUUUCCACUACCACUGCUCUGCACACUGACUCCUUCACCAGGAUUCUUUCCAGAAACAUGUUACCAGGUCCUUUCCACUACCACUGCUCUGCACACUGACUCCUUCACCAGGAUUCUUUCCAGAAACAUGUUACCAGGUCCUUUCCACUACUUCUGCUCUGCACACUGACUCCUUCACCAGGAUUCUUUCCAGAAACAUGUUACCAGGUCCCUUCAACUACUUUUGCUC
Long non-coding RNA from Ctenocephalides felis (cat flea), 847 nucleotides. RefSeq lists it as uncharacterized. Lineage: Eukaryota; Metazoa; Arthropoda; Insecta; Siphonaptera; Pulicidae. The record is from RefSeq and is a predicted model, not a curated record. The transcript is spliced from 11 exons.